This is a long non-coding RNA of Patella vulgata (common limpet), 937 nucleotides long. RefSeq lists it as uncharacterized. Lineage: Eukaryota; Metazoa; Mollusca; Gastropoda; Patellidae. The record is from RefSeq and is a predicted model, not a curated record. The transcript has 2 exons.
AAUGUCCCAACAACAACUCCCGGUAGUGGUAGUUCAGGUAUCCAACUUGGGAUUGCUUCAGUUUUAGCUGUCGUCAUCGCCGCCAUUUAUUUGUUAUAAAAUUAUACAGUUGUUUUUAAUCAGAACCAAACCCACCUUCGUCGCUACAUUGUUUCUUUAAAGCCGUACCACGAAGCAUACAAUAUUUCAUCACAUACGGAUGGUUUUCUCAAAUGCACUCCAUUCCAUUAGGUGGACCUUUCGCUUUUGGUCAAAUUGAAAAUGAUCAGCUAAGUUAUUUUCUGUACUUAGUUCGACCACUAAAAAAUGGUUAUACUGUAAAUACUGACUUUUUUGGAGUAUUCAUAUCCUUUUCUAUAAUACGGGAACAAUGUAAUAACUGUUCAAAUUUACCAUUACUAUUUUGCCAUUAAUUUAUUCAACCUGGCAUACCAUCUAUAAGUAUACACCUUCCAGGCUUCACUAUUUGGGUAUUAUUUGUGAAUUUACCUACACCUUUUGUGCCUAUAUAUUACAGAUAUUUAUUUUGAGAUGAAAUGGGGAGUAAGAUUCUACUUUCCUGCACUGAUCGAGCUAAUGAAGGUCUUAUGUCUCUCUUUGUCUAUUCAAGAAAUCUAUAGGAGACAUUCCAACUCCGUUUGUCUAUACUGAUAGCCACAUGAGCCUGCAUGAAUAGCUGUGCCUUAGAAGAGAACAUAUUUGUUCGAUGUUUCUUGAUUUACUUGUACAAAGUUUUAUCCAAGAAAUAUCCCAAAUAAUUUAUGAUAAGAAAAAUAAUCCUAAAUUUUUCUUUGAACCGAAAGUCUGUAAGUUUGAUCACAUUUGUGGAUGGUGCCGUGUAAAUUAUAUACUAAUUCGAUUUUUUCUAAAUUGAUUUCAUUACAAGCACGUGUUGUUGUAUUUUACUGUUGUCAAUAAAAAGAAAAUAAUAAUCUAA